RNAcentral lists this ribosomal RNA (253 nucleotides) under uncultured bacterium. Its description in RNAcentral is "partial 16S ribosomal RNA". It matches the Rfam family "Bacterial small subunit ribosomal RNA", at positions 524 to 776 of the family's 1533-position model. The record is from RNAcentral.
UACGUAGGGUGCAAGCGUUGUCCGGAAUUAUUGGGCGUAAAGAGCUCGUAGGCGGUUUGUCGCGUCGGCUGUGAAAACUCGGGGCUCAACCCCGAGCCUGCAGUCGAUACGGGCAGACUAGAGUGCUGUAGGGGAGACUGGAAUUCCUGGUGUAGCGGUGAAAUGCGCAGAUAUCAGGAGGAACACCGGUGGCGAAGGCGGGUCUCUGGGCCGAUACUGACGCUGAGGAGCGAAAGCGUGGGGAGCAAACAGG